CUCCUAUCCUUUACUCUUUCCACUGCUCCAUUUCCUAAACCCUAGAAUUCCUCUAGACCAUCUCUGUAAAUCUUUUCUUUGUUCAAGUAGAAGGGGUUUUUGAAUCUGAUGGAGUAUUUCAAUCUUCUACCCGAAGAGAUUACACUUGACAUUAUCAGUCGAGUCCCAGCCGAAUCGGUCCUGGAAUGCAAAUUAGUUUGCACAAAUUGGAGAUGUCUUGUUCAUGAUCCAUCGUUCUCCAAGAUGCAUCUAGAUCAUCUGAAUCAUCCGGUGGCUGAUUCUGGUAAGUUAGAUUUCAUUGCUUUUGCUUCUUCUGAUUGGUGGACGAAUUACAAUUUUCUGUAUUUUAAAUAUGAUGAGAAUCAUGAAUCAAUCGAAAGAAUUAGAAGGCUUAAUGUUAACAUUCCGUUUGGCUGGGGUACUAGAUUCCUUGGGUCGUGUAAUGUCUUGAUCUCUUGUUAUUCAAGUAAAAAUAUUUGGAUUUGUAACCCCAUCAACAGAGAGUAUAUUCGGCUUCCAGAAAUUAAGAGAGUUUGAAUGGGUGUUUGGGGGAGCGGAUUUGGUUAUGUUUCUUCAACCAAUGAGUAUAAAGUUGUACGAAUAAUCUUCGAGACCGAGACCGAGACGGAGUUUAUGUUUGAGAACGAUACAGAGUUUAUGGAAGUUCAUGCAUACACUCUAGGGAGUGGAAAAGGAUGGAGAAACCUUGGAAAUUUCAAUCUUGGAACCAGAGAAUAUUUGGGAGCAGUGGACAUGUCAAUGAAGCUGAAUGUUCGGACGUGUGGCUAUUGAGAAACAAGGAUGAUAAUCAUGGCAUGAUACAGCAAGUGGGACAUCAGUCAAUAGGUUGGAGUGAAGUGUUUAGGCUUUUUGACAUUGAAAUUUUUGCAGUAAUAAAGAGUUACUCUGUCUUGACUUACAAAGGUAAUCAUAUCAACAUUCACGACCCAAAAGCUUCAACCUCGGAAACAAUUGUGGUGUUUGAAGAAAAUAUUGGUGUUGUAUUCCCUCACAAGAACACCUUUGUUUCGUUGAAAGAAUUAGGAGAAGAAGAUACGAAGAGAAUGGAGUCAGUUGAAAUUGAGGAGACAGAAGGCCAUGCUCAGCCUUUCAACCAGCUGUAGGAGGAUGGGACCCUGGAUACCUACUUAUAAUCUGGUCGCUGAUCCAAUUAAGAGUGACAAAGACAAACUGUUGGAGCAAAGAAUAAUAACACUGAUGACAUACUUCUUCUGGUACAAUAUGGAUCUUAGCCUAAGCAAUAUGCUAUGAGAUGUUGGUUCCAGACUUACCUCAUUGGUGACUGACGCCAGCGUGUGCUUGCACUUGUAAUGGUUACCGACGCACGUAACCCACUUUUCUACUGGUGCCCUGAUCUUGAGGUAUAUGUAUUUCGUGGUUUGAUAAAUAUAUGCAUUUAAUUUUCAAUCCCACCCAGUACCUUGCACAUGCAUUCCAGUGUUUAAAAAUGAACCAGUUUUUAUCAUGAUAAAUUAGAGUUAAUUGGACAACAGUUAUCAGUUUCGGCAGGAAAUGUCUAAAUGGGAGGGUUCAGUUCUGUAUAUUAAAAUAGGAAAUGGUAGUAUUUCUUGUUAAUAGGAACUAAUAUUGUAGUCCACUUUUUUGCUAGUUCAGCUGAACCCCUGGAGCUUGUCGUCUUUAUACAUCCAUUAGCUCGUUUAUGAAAACUGUUGAAAUUCGUACUGUCAUUUCCAAGAUGCCGAUGAUUACAAGUCCAAAUUAGGAAAAUAAAAGUGGGACCAGAAAAAGAGUAUGGGAAGCUCAAGGAAGAGCAACCUACUCCAGAGAUACAUCAUCUGGGAUCAACUCAACUGGGCUAAGGCUAGCACCAAGAGGAUCCCUUAACAGAGUAUUAAAGUCAUUACAGUUAUCCUGAAGAAGUAAGUUUGGACUGAACUGUAGAGCUUGCCAAAAUAAGUGCAAAUUGGGACCUUUCCAGUUUAGGUUGUGUAAUAAAGUAGAGGUACUGGUAAUCCUGGCUAGUUUAGCAGCAUUGUUGAGAUGAUGGGAAUCUAUCUUUAUGAGUCUUCCCAAGACAAAGUCUAUGGCUUCAAAAUUCCUAACUUUAGUUCUGUAGUUUCCUUGAAAUCUUUGUUAUAGUGCAAGAUUGUAGCC
Molecule: RNA transcript, 2136 nt
Organism: Papaver somniferum (opium poppy)
Lineage: Eukaryota; Viridiplantae; Streptophyta; Magnoliopsida; Ranunculales; Papaveraceae
Exons: 5
Source: RefSeq, a predicted model, not a curated record